Molecule: ribosomal RNA, 787 nt
Filed under: Bacillus pumilus
Lineage: Bacteria; Bacillati; Bacillota; Bacilli; Caryophanales; Bacillaceae
Description: bacterial SSU rRNA
Rfam family: Bacterial small subunit ribosomal RNA
Source: RNAcentral
GCUCGCAGGCGGUUUCUUAAGUCUGAUGUGAAAGCCCCCGGCUCAACCGGGGAGGGUCAUUGGAAACUGGGAAACUUGAGUGCAGAAGAGGAGAGUGGAAUUCCACGUGUAGCGGUGAAAUGCGUAGAGAUGUGGAGGAACACCAGUGGCGAAGGCGACUCUCUGGUCUGUAACUGACGCUGAGGAGCGAAAGCGUGGGGAGCGAACAGGAUUAGAUACCCUGGUAGUCCACGCCGUAAACGAUGAGUGCUAAGUGUUAGGGGGUUUCCGCCCCUUAGUGCUGCAGCUAACGCAUUAAGCACUCCGCCUGGGGAGUACGGUCGCAAGACUGAAACUCAAAGGAAUUGACGGGGGCCCGCACAAGCGGUGGAGCAUGUGGUUUAAUUCGAAGCAACGCGAAGAACCUUACCAGGUCUUGACAUCCUCUGACAACCCUAGAGAUAGGGCUUUCCCUUCGGGGACAGAGUGACAGGUGGUGCAUGGUUGUCGUCAGCUCGUGUCGUGAGAUGUUGGGUUAAGUCCCGCAACGAGCGCAACCCUUGAUCUUAGUUGCCAGCAUUUAGUUGGGCACUCUAAGGUGACUGCCGGUGACAAACCGGAGGAAGGUGGGGAUGACGUCAAAUCAUCAUGCCCCUUAUGACCUGGGCUACACACGUGCUACAAUGGACAGAACAAAGGGCUGCGAGACCGCAAGGUUUAGCCAAUCCCAUAAAUCUGUUCUCAGUUCGGAUCGCAGUCUGCAACUCGACUGCGUGAAGCUGGAAUCGCUAGUAAUCGCGGAUCAGCA